Molecule: ribosomal RNA, 478 nt
Filed under: uncultured Planctomycetales bacterium
Lineage: Bacteria; Pseudomonadati; Planctomycetota; Planctomycetia; Planctomycetales
Description: bacterial SSU rRNA
Rfam family: Bacterial small subunit ribosomal RNA
Source: RNAcentral
UUCGCAAUGCCCGAAAGGGUGACGAAGCGACGCCGCGUGCGGGAAGAAGGCCUUCGGGUUGUAAACCACUGUCGGGAGUUAAGAAAUGCAAGGAUAUGAAUAGUGUCUUUGCUUGACUAAGGCUCCGGAGGAAGCCACGGCUAACUCUGUGCCAGCAGCCGCGGUAAUACAGAGGCGGCAAGCGUUGUUCGGAAUUAUUGGGCGUAAAGAGCACGUAGGCGGCUAUGUAAGUCGGUUGUGAAAGCCUUCCGCUCAACGGGAGAACAGCAUCCGAUACUACAUGGCUUGAGUGCGGGAGGGGAGAGUGGAACUUCUGGUGGAGCGGUGAAAUGCGUAGAUAUCAGAAGGAACGCCGGCGGCGAAAGCGGCUCUCUGGCCCAUAACUGACGCUGAGUGUGCGAAAGCUAGGGGAGCAAACGGGAUUAGAUACCCCGGUAGUCCUAGCCGUAAACGAUGGGCACUAAGUAGAGGGGUUUUA